Molecule: ribosomal RNA, 301 nt
Filed under: uncultured bacterium
Lineage: Bacteria
Description: partial 16S ribosomal RNA
Rfam family: Bacterial small subunit ribosomal RNA
Source: RNAcentral
CAGUAGCCGCGGUAAUACAGAGGGUGCAAGCGUUAAUCGGAUUUACUGGGCGUAAAGGGCGCGUAGGUGGUUAUGUAAGUGAGAUGUGAAAUCCCCGGGCUCAACCUGGGAACUGCAUCUUAUACUGCGUAGCUGGAGUGCAGUAGAGGGUAGUGGAAUUUCCGGUGUAGCGGUGAAAUGCGUAGAUAUCGGAAGGAACACCAGUGGCGAAGGCGGCUACCUGGACUGACACUGACACUGAGGCGCGAAAGCGUGGGGAGCAAACAGGAUUAGAUACCCCGGUAGUCCCUGUCUCUUAUAA